GAGAGAGAGAGAGAGAGAGAGAGAGAGAGAGAGAGAGAGAGAGAGAGAGAGAGAGAGAGAGAGAGAGAGAGAGAGAGAGAGAGAGAGAGACUGUCCUCUACCAUCCUAUAAUCCAUGGGUGUAGCAGCUGAGUUACAGAAGCAAUGUUAUAUCAAGGCAUGGUGGCUUUGUGGUUGUAUAAGUACUGAAUAGUACAGAGAAAUUGUAGAACUGAUUUUUACUUUGCUUCUCUGUACAUCACACCCUGGUGCUCAUUUAGGAUAUGUUCUCUCUCUCUCUCUCUCUCUCUCUCUCUCUCUCUCUCUCUCUCUCUCUCUCUCUCUCUCUCUCUCUCUCUCUCUCUCUCUCUCUCUCUCUCUCUCUCUCUCUCUCUCUCUCUCUCUCUCUCUCUCUCUCUCUCUCUCUCUCUCUCUCUCUCUCUGAGGUUAUUGUACACUAUAUAUGAGGCACUUAGUGUUGGAAGUGCAAAUCCCCACAAAAUGAGGUUUUGAGAUAUUUGACAUUUGAAAUAUAUUAGUUUGAAUUUAUUUUACUCUUGUGGGCCAACUCCAGCCAUAACUUAUUUUUAGAUAUUUUCAUUUCAAUAUUUGUUUUUAAAAUUUGGUAGAAAAUUUCAUGAAGAUAGUUGUUUUUCAAAUCAAUACAUGCUAGUGAAGAUUUUUUUAUUGGAAAAGCAUGUAGUAUUAUCAAUAAAUUGUUUCUUUU
This is a long non-coding RNA of Portunus trituberculatus (swimming crab), 705 nucleotides long. RefSeq lists it as uncharacterized. The record is from RefSeq and is a predicted model, not a curated record. The transcript is spliced from 2 exons. NCBI's taxonomy places the organism in Eukaryota, Metazoa, Arthropoda, Malacostraca, Decapoda, Portunidae.